RNAcentral lists this ribosomal RNA (191 nucleotides) under uncultured bacterium. RNAcentral's name for it is "partial 16S ribosomal RNA". It matches the Rfam family "Bacterial small subunit ribosomal RNA", at positions 310 to 498 of the family's 1533-position model. The record is from RNAcentral.
UGACCGGUCAUGGGCCCAAACGGACUCUACGGGAGGCAGCAGUGGGGAAUAUUGCACAAUGGGCGCAAGCCUGAUGCAGCCAUGCCGCGUGUAUGAAGAAGGCUUCGGGUUGUAAAGUACUUUCAGCGAGGAGGAAGCAUUAAGGUUAAUAACCUUGGUGAUUGACGUUACUCGCAGAAGAAGCACCGGCU